Trichonephila inaurata madagascariensis is the source of this 86-nucleotide non-coding RNA. The record is from the annotation of a GenBank genome assembly. Lineage: Eukaryota; Metazoa; Arthropoda; Arachnida; Araneae; Nephilidae.
GGCCCUGUAGCGCAAUGGAAAGCGCGUUGGACUUCUAAUCUAAAGGUCGUCCUGGUCCCGCCUGGGAUUUGAGCCCACGAUGGCCU